UAGGGCGAAAGCCUGAUCCAGCAACGCCGCGUGAGUGAUGAAGGCCCUAGGGUUGUAAAGCUCUUUCGCCAGGGACGAUAAUGACGGUACCUGGAUAAGAAGCCCCGGCUAACUUCGUGCCAGCAGCCGCGGUAAUACGAAGGGGGCUAGCGUUGUUCGGAAUCACUGGGCGUAAAGCGCACGUAGGCGGAUCUUUAAGUCAGGGGUGAAAUCCCGAGGCUCAACCUCGGAACUGCCUUUGAUACUGGAGGUCUCGAGUCCGGGAGAGGUGAGUGGAACUGCGAGUGUAGAGGUGAAAUUCGUAGAUAUUCGCAAGAACACCAGUGGCGAAGGCGGCUCACUGGCCCGGUACUGACGCUGAGGUGCGAAAGCGUGGGGAGCAAACGGGAUUAGAUACCCUGGUAGUCCACGCCGUAAACUAUGGAUGCUAGCCGUUGGGCAGCUUGCUGUUCAGUGGCGCAGCUAACGCUUUAAGCAUCCCGCCUGGGGAGUACGGUCGCAAGAUUA
This 507-nucleotide ribosomal RNA is filed under the name uncultured Pseudomonadota bacterium. Its description in RNAcentral is "bacterial SSU rRNA". It matches the Rfam family "Bacterial small subunit ribosomal RNA", at positions 371 to 896 of the family's 1533-position model. Lineage: Bacteria; Pseudomonadati; Pseudomonadota. The record is from RNAcentral.